GAUGAACGCUAGCGGGAGGCUUAACACAUGCAAGUCGAGGGGUAACAUUACUUUCGGGUAGAUGACGACCGGCGAACGGGUGCGUAACGCGUAUGCAACCUACCUUAUACAGGGAGAUAGCCCAUGGAAACGUGGAUUAAUAUCCCAUAGUACUACUUUUUCACCUGAACUGGUAGUUAAAACUUCGGUGGUAUAAGAUGGGCAUGCGUAUGAUUAGCUGGAUGGUGAGGUAACGGCUCACCAUGGCGACGAUCAUUAGGGGUUCUGAGAGGAUUAUCCCCCACACUGGUACUGAGACACGGACCAGACUCCUACGGGAGGCAGCAGUGAGGAAUAUUGGUCAAUGGGCGCGAGCCUGAACCAGCCAUCCCGCGUGCAGGAUGACGGCCCUAUGGGUUGUAAACUGCUUUUCUAUGCCAAGAAACCCACGCUCGUGAGCGUGGUUGACGGUAGCAUAAGAAUAAGGACCGGCUAACUCCGUGCCAGCAGCCGCGGUAAUACGGAGGGUCCAAGCGUUAUCCGGAUUCAUUGGGUUUAAAGGGUGCGCAGGCGGGCUUGUAAGUCAGUGGUGAAAUACUGCCGCUUAACGGUAGAACUGCCAUUGAUACUGCAAGUCUUGAAUAUGGUUGAGGUAGGCGGAAUGUGUUGUGUAGCGGUGAAAUGCAUAGAUAUGACACAGAACGCCGAUUGCGAAGGCAGCUUACUAAGCCAUAAUUGACGCUGAGGCACGAAAGCGUGGGGAGCGAACAGGAUUAGAUACCCUGGUAGUCCACGCCGUAAACGAUGUUCACUCGCUGUCUGCGAUACACAGUAGGCGGCUUAGCGAAAGCAUUAAGUGAACCACCUGGGGAGUACGAUCGCAAGGUUGAAACUCAAAGGAAUUGACGG
Molecule: ribosomal RNA, 888 nt
Filed under: uncultured Bacteroidota bacterium
Lineage: Bacteria; Pseudomonadati; Bacteroidota
Description: bacterial SSU rRNA
Rfam family: Bacterial small subunit ribosomal RNA
Source: RNAcentral